RNAcentral lists this ribosomal RNA (467 nucleotides) under uncultured bacterium. RNAcentral describes it as "partial 16S ribosomal RNA". It matches the Rfam family "Bacterial small subunit ribosomal RNA", at positions 28 to 506 of the family's 1533-position model. The record is from RNAcentral.
GAUGAACGCUGGCGGCGUGCUUAACACAUGCAAGUCGAACGGAAAGGCCCAAGCUUGCUUGGGUACUCGAGUGGCGAACGGGUGAGUAACACGUGGGUGAUCUGCCCUGCACUUCGGGAUAAGCCUGGGAAACUGGGUCUAAUACCGGAUAGGCCGAUGGUUUGGAUGCCAUUGUGGAAAGUUUUUUCGGUGUGGGAUGAGCUCGCGGCCUAUCAGCUUGUUGGUGGGGUAAUGGCCUACCAAGGCGUCGACGGGUAGCCGGCCUGAGAGGGUGUACGGCCACAUUGGGACUGAGAUACGGCCCAGACUCCUACGGGAGGCAGCAGUGGGGAAUAUUGCACAAUGGGCGCAAGCCUGAUGCAGCGACGCCGCGUGGGGGAUGACGGCCUUCGGGUUGUAAACUCCUUUCGCUAGGGACGAAGCGUUUUUGUGACGGUACCUGGAGAAGAAGCACCGGCUAACUACGU